AUUAGAUACCCGGGUAGUCCCAGCCGUAAACGAUGCACGUUAGGUGUAUCGAUGACCACGAGUCAUCGAGGUGCCGAAGGGAAACCGUGAAACGUGCCGCCUGGGAAGUACGGUCGCAAGGCUGAAACUUAAAGGAAUUGGCGGGGGAGCACCACAACAGGUGGAGCCUGCGGUUUAAUCGGACUCAACGCCGGAAAUCUCACCGGAUAAGACAGCUGAAUGAUAGCCGGGCUGAAGACUCUGCUUGACUAGCUGAGAGGAGGUGCAUGGC
RNAcentral lists this ribosomal RNA (271 nucleotides) under uncultured archaeon. RNAcentral's name for it is "partial 16S ribosomal RNA". It matches the Rfam family "Archaeal small subunit ribosomal RNA", at positions 728 to 998 of the family's 1478-position model. The record is from RNAcentral.